This 64-nucleotide transfer RNA is filed under the name Eurythoe complanata. RNAcentral's name for it is "tRNA-Met". The record is from RNAcentral. Lineage: Eukaryota; Metazoa; Annelida; Polychaeta; Eunicida; Amphinomidae.
AGCAAGGUAAGCUAAGCUCCAAGCUAUUGGGCUCAUGCCCCAAAAAUGUAUUAUACCCUUGCUG